RNAcentral lists this unclassified non-coding RNA (336 nucleotides) under Colpoda steini. RNAcentral describes it as "Colpoda steinii partial contains ITS1, 5.8S rRNA and ITS2". The stretch from base 111 to 264 matches the Rfam family "5.8S ribosomal RNA". The record is from RNAcentral. Lineage: Eukaryota; Ciliophora; Colpodea; Colpodida; Colpodidae.
UGCAUGUUUUAGUAGAGAGUAAUCUCUAUUAAGCAUGUCAUCUCAUUUUAUAUGGACCUUUUAUGUUUUAUUCUAAAUGAAACUUAAAAAUCAUAUAAUAUAACUAAGAAAAUUUUCAACGAUGGAUAUCUUGGUUCCCAUAACGAUGAAGAGCGCAGCAAAGUGCGAUAAGCAAUGCGAAUUGCAGAAUUCCGCGAAUCAUCAGAUCCUUGAACGCAACUGGCGCUAGGAGGCUCUCCUUCUAGCAUGUCUGUUUCAGUGUCUGAAAACAUCACAUCUAACUUAAUGUGGUUGAUGAUCUCAUGUUUUUUAAAUAUGAGCUAAUCUUCCAUUAAA